UAUAGGAAGUUUGAAAAACUAAAGAAUCUGUGGUACAUGAUUUGAUUUACUCAUUUAGAUUUUAGUAAAUUGUGACCGGAAGUUUUUUUCACAAAACCAGUGCACCACCCUUUCUACACACAUCAUUCAUGGAUUGGCAGACUAAAGGUUCUAUUCAACAUCUUUGGUGGAUUGCAUAAAUGGGCUAGAGUAAAAAUAGACCAGAAUUGUUAUAUGUGCUUAGGGAAGUGGGAUUAGAUCAAGAUUUUUUUGACAAAAUGAGAAAUCAAUGGCUCAAGGAGAGUAAGCCCAAAGAGAUAAGUAUUGUUUUCCUUUAGUAGCUUGCCGCAUAAUUCAUUCAAACAUAUUUAGAGUGGAGCAGGAAUAUUCAAACAAGGAAAUGUACACAAUAUCUGUUAGUAUACAUGUGACACUUUCCCGUCUUUCGACUAAUGAUUGCCUCCUACCAGGUAUCACUAAUAGCACAUUCAUCACAUCAUUUGUGUAGCUCAUUCUGGUGUAAGUCGGGCCAAUUUAGAAAAGAUUUUAAAGCAGAUUCAUACAGGUUAUAGAAAUCAGAGUCAAAUGUUAUAAUAAGUGAUUUGUUUGUGCAUAAUUUCUAAUCGAUCGUCUUCUAAGGAUAAAUGGAACUGCUACCUUUCCUCUCUCCAAUAAACUAUUAGACCCUGCUUGUAACUAUUUUUCAUCUUGGUGUGAUUUAUAAGGGAGGCCAUGCCAUUAGUUUUUUGUUAUUACAUGCUAUGAUGACCCCGAUUCAUUGAUGUAUAGUGUCGUAUGUGGUCAAUUACCUAAUAUGGUAGUAUCACUUCUCCUGGUUUGCCUUGGUCUGAAAUCUGACUUUUGGACUGAUUGUAGUCAAUCCGAAUUAGUGAGUUUCUUUUUUCCAACUGUCCAUGUUCAGUUCUCUACAUUAUCAUGCAUUUUCUUUGGUUUAAAGAUGUCAUGAUGUUCACCAAGGCAGAGAAGAAAUGUUUUAAAGUUGUCCCUUCAAUUGAAACAAGUAUGACUUGGUCCUUAGUGCCUAUGCAGACAUGAAAACGGAAGGUCGAGAAGUUUAAAUAUGUCAUGAUGUUUACAAUUGCGGAUAUCCUACUUCAGGUACUUGCCUGAUAACUCACAAUUUCAACACAGAAGUUACUAAUCUGUAAGACAUGCCCUCUCUCAUUCAACGAUGUCCUGAAUUUUUCACACAAAGCUUUGUAAUCUUGCCAAGUCACAAGAGAGCCAAGUAAUCAUGCGAAUUUUCAGAGAACUUCAAGUGGCAUGCCACCAUUUGCAAUGGUUGUGAUGUAGUGAUAAUUAAUAAACCACAGGCCUUCUAAAUAUUCUAAAGUUGCAUAUCUAAGAGCAUAUUAUAUUUCUCAUAAACAACUGGAGUUAAGCUUCUAUCCUCUUCCUGUCUUGAAGGAAUUAUCUGUUGAGUAAGCUACAGUCUCUUUGUUUGACUAGCUAGGCUGUGUUACAUAAAUGUAUAAGAUGAUGCUUCUGUGGCUAUAACUGGUGCCUGCCGCGCUAAAUAGGAAACACCCUAUUAAUUACCCACCUCAAUUUCAUUAGUGCGUCCGGCCUGUGAAUUUUACCCCAGACUAUAAAUCCCCUCCAAACGAAACCCUAUAGGUGUACUAUGACUCUUAAUAGUGUAUCCUUGUAAAAGUCAGUGUGUUGGGUUAUUUUUUUGGUGUGGUUAGAGAACUCAACUCCAUUUGGAACAAGGGUUUGAGUUUUAUUUUUCCUAAACCUUUGAGAGGCAGAGCCAUGGAAAUAUUUUGUGCUCUCAUUCCUCUGGAUGGAAGCUCUAACUUUUCCUCUUUGUUUCCAAUAAGCUACUUUCUUCGAGAUUGUGCAAUGAAGGAUUUUGAUGGUAAGGGAUCGUAGAGCCUCGGGUGACUAGCAUUAAGAUAGGAAGGUUGUUGCCGCCCUUGUCCCUUGCUGCUGGGUUGCCAUGGUGCGUCAAUCACUGGCUUAUUUAGAACAAUAGUUAGUGGAUUUUGUGAUAAGGGUGAGGGCCGAGAGUGAGAGGGAUGGGGUUGGGAUUGGUCUAUUGUAUGCGUGAAAUUAUUUCCCUACUUCAGAAAAUAUGGCAAAUUGCAUUUCAUUAGAGAUUGAUUUACAGCAAAUUGCAUGAGCGAGUGGUUCUUGCAUUUUUCAUCAAGUCGUACAUUUUCUUGGUUAUGACAUAAGGGUAAAUGUACUGGUUGGUUGCUUCAAGACUUAAUAACAGACACUAUGACAAUGGCUCAAGAGAUAUCAGAUCUACCUUCUUGGCUGGGGGCGUUAUGGGUGGUGCACGUCUCGGCCCCCUUGAUGGCCGUGGUGGAUGGACAUGAACACGAGGGGGGAUCAGGGCGGAGAGCAGGGUGGUUGGCGGGGGACUCAUCCUUGGCAGUUCAUGGGAAAGUACGGUGUGAAGCAGAGGGGGCGCCAUGGCGAAGUGUGAAAGGAGGAAAAUAGUUGCCGGAAAGCAGGUAGAUCUACACCUUGAGAGAUGGCAUUUUGCGGUACAUUGUUUAGGUCAUUAGUGGUCACUUGGGAUGGGUGCGAUCUGUAGCAUUUGAUCCAGGGAACAAAUGGUUUUGUCCUGGUUUUGCUGAUAGGACAAUAACGGCAAGGAAGAAGGUUGCAGAGCAUGGAUGGAUGUGAAAAGGAAGAGGAUGGAUGAGAGAGGAGAGAAGAGGGGUGAAAGAGGAUACAGAUGGAAAGAGGGAGAAGGACAGGGUGGGGGCGCUUCUUAAGGAUUAUUGUCGACUGAUUUCAUACUCUCUUAUAAAUUCAUGGUUAGCUAGGUAAACCUUUUGUACAACAGCUCUUGUUCAAAAGGAAGUUUGAUUUUUUGGCUUCUUAUUUUAGGUCAAUAUCAAGAACAGUUUAGUUAAUUUAGUUUAAUGUUUAUGUUUGAAAUUGACUUUUACCAUUCUGGUUGAAUGGGGGUGUUGAUAGAAGAGAUUGCGA
Long non-coding RNA from Triticum dicoccoides, 2949 nucleotides. RefSeq lists it as uncharacterized. The transcript is spliced from 4 exons. NCBI's taxonomy places the organism in Eukaryota, Viridiplantae, Streptophyta, Magnoliopsida, Poales, Poaceae. The record is from RefSeq and is a predicted model, not a curated record.